RNAcentral lists this transfer RNA (65 nucleotides) under Oberea yaoshana. Its description in RNAcentral is "tRNA-Phe". Lineage: Eukaryota; Metazoa; Arthropoda; Insecta; Coleoptera; Cerambycidae. The record is from RNAcentral.
ACUUAAAUAGCUUAAUAAAGAGCAUAAUAUUGAAGAUAUUAAGGUAAUAAAAAUAUUUUUAAGUA